Molecule: small nucleolar RNA, 77 nt
Filed under: Phaethon lepturus (White-tailed tropicbird)
Lineage: Eukaryota; Metazoa; Chordata; Aves; Phaethontiformes; Phaethontidae
Description: Small nucleolar RNA SNORD45
Rfam family: Small nucleolar RNA SNORD45
About the family: U45 belongs to the C/D class of snoRNA which contain the C (UGAUGA) and D (CUGA) box motifs. Most of the members of the box C/D family function in directing site-specific 2'-O-methylation of substrate RNAs.
Source: Rfam by way of RNAcentral
GGUCUGUGGAGUUUUGGCAUGUACUGAGUGUAAAUUUGAAGAUUAUUAGUUUAGCUCUAGAAUUACUGUAAGACCUG